Molecule: ribosomal RNA, 808 nt
Filed under: uncultured Pelosinus sp.
Lineage: Bacteria; Bacillati; Bacillota; Negativicutes; Selenomonadales; Sporomusaceae
Description: partial 16S ribosomal RNA
Rfam family: Bacterial small subunit ribosomal RNA
Source: RNAcentral
UGCCUACCUGCAGUCGAACGGAGAAUCAGCAAUGAUUCUUAGUGGCGAACGGGUGAGUAACGCGUAGACAACCUGCCUUCUAGAUGGGGACAACACUGCGAAAGUGGUGCUAAUACCGAAUGUUGCAUUAAGCCUGCAUGGGCUUGAUACUAAAGGUGGCUUCUAUUUAUAAGCUAUCACUAGAAGAUGGGUCUGCGUCUGAUUAGCUAGUUGGUGAGGUAAUGGCUCACCAAGGCGAUGAUCAGUAGCCGGUCUGAGAGGAUGAACGGCCACACUGGGACUGAGACACGGCCCAGACUCCUACGGGAGGCAGCAGUGGGGAAUCUUCCGCAAUGGACGAAAGUCUGACGGAGCAACGCCGCGUGAGUGAAGAAGGUUUUCGGAUCGUAAAGCUCUGUCUUUGAGGACGAAUGUGUCUAAUGUGAAUAAUGUUAGAUAAUGACGGUACUCGAGGAGGAAGCCACGGCUAACUACGUGCCAGCAGCCGCGGUAAUACGUAGGUGGCAAGCGUUGUCCGGAAUUAUUGGGCGUAAAGCGCGCGCAGGCGGGAUAUUAAGUCUGUUUUAAAAGUUCGGGGCUCAACCCCGUGAUGGAAUGGAAACUAAUAUUCUUGAGUGCAGGAGAGGAAAGUGGAAUUCCCAGUGUAGCGGUGAAAUGCGUAGAUAUUGGGAGGAACACCAGUGGCGAAGGCGACUUUCUGGACUGUGUCUGACGCUGAGGCGCGAAAGCCAGGGGAGUGAACGGGAUUAGAUACCCCGGUAAUCCUGGGCCGUAAACGAUGGGUACUAGUGUAGGAGUAUCGACCCCU